GGAUUUUCAGUAAUGGCA
RNAcentral lists this small RNA (18 nucleotides) under Caenorhabditis elegans. RNAcentral describes it as "Unclassified non-coding RNA Y71A12B.22". The record is from RNAcentral. Lineage: Eukaryota; Metazoa; Nematoda; Chromadorea; Rhabditida; Rhabditidae.